UACGGAAGGCAGCAGUGGGGAAUAUUGCACAAUGGGCGAAAGCCUGAUGCAGCUAUGCCGCGUGUAUGAAGAAGGCCUUAGGGUUGUAAAGUACUUUCAUCGGGGAGGAAAAACAAAACUAAUAAUUUUAUUUCUUGACGUUACCCGAAAAAGAAGCACCGGCUAACUCCGUGCCAGCAGCCGCGGUAAUACGGAGGGUGCUAGCGUUAAUCAGAAUUACUGGGCGUAAAGAGCACGUAGGUGGUUUUUUUAAGUCAGAUGUGAAAUCCCUGGGCUUAACCUAGGAACUGCAUUUUGAAACUGAAAUACUAGAGUAUCGUAGAGGGAGGUAGAAUUCUAGGUGUAGCGGUGAAAUGCGUAGACAUCUGGAGGAAUACCUGUGGCGAAAGCGGCCUCCUAAACGAAUACUGACACUGAGGUGCGAAAGCGUGGGGAGCAAACAGGGAUUAGAUACC
RNAcentral lists this ribosomal RNA (455 nucleotides) under uncultured bacterium. RNAcentral describes it as "bacterial SSU rRNA". It matches the Rfam family "Bacterial small subunit ribosomal RNA", at positions 340 to 786 of the family's 1533-position model. The record is from RNAcentral.